GGGGUGCUCGAGUGGCGAACGGGUGAGUAACACGUGAGUAACCUGCCCUUGACUUUGGGAUAACUUCAGGAAACUGGGGCUAAUACCGGAUAGGAGCCAUCUUUAGUGUGGUGGUUGGAAAGUUUUUUCGGUGUAGGAUGAGCUCGCGGCCUAUCAGCUUGUUGGUGGGGUAAUGGCCUACCAAGGCGGCGACGGGUAGCCGGCCUGAGAGGGUGUACGGCCACAUUGGGACUGAGAUACGGCCCAG
This 247-nucleotide ribosomal RNA is filed under the name uncultured Actinomycetales bacterium. RNAcentral describes it as "partial 16S ribosomal RNA". It matches the Rfam family "Bacterial small subunit ribosomal RNA", at positions 84 to 334 of the family's 1533-position model. Lineage: Bacteria; Bacillati; Actinomycetota; Actinomycetes; Actinomycetales. The record is from RNAcentral.